GGUUAAGCGACUAAGCGUACACGGUGGAUGCCCUGGCAGUCAGAGGCGAUGAAGGACGUGCUAAUCUGCGAUAAGCGCCGGUAAGGUGAUAUGAACCGUUAUAACCGGCGAUUUCCGAAUGGGGAAACCCAGUGUGAUUCGUCACACUAUCAUUAACUGAAUCCAUAGGUUAAUGAGGCGAACCGGGGGAACUGAAACAUCUAAGUACCCCGAGGAAAAGAAAUCAACCGAGAUUCCCCCAGUAGCGGCGAGCGAACGGGGAGGAGCCCAGAGCCUGAAUCAGCAUGUGUGUUAGUGGAAGCGUCUGGAAAGGCGCGCGAUACAGGGUGACAGCCCCGUACACAAAAGCGCACAUGCUGUGAGCUCGAUGAGUAGGGCGGGACACGUGGUAUCCUGUCUGAAUAUGGGGGGACCAUCCUCCAAGGCUAAAUACUCCUGACUGACCGAUAGUGAACCAGUACCGUGAGGGAAAGGCGAAAAGAACCCCGGCGAGGGGAGUGAAAAAGAACCUGAAACCGUGUACGUACAAGCAGUGGGAGCACCCUUUGGGGUGUGACUGCGUACCUUUUGUAUAAUGGGUCAGCGACUUAUAUUCUGUAGCAAGGUUAACCGUAUAGGGGAGCCGGAGGGAAACCGAGUCUUAAC
Molecule: ribosomal RNA, 645 nt
Filed under: Salmonella enterica subsp. enterica serovar Senftenberg
Lineage: Bacteria; Pseudomonadati; Pseudomonadota; Gammaproteobacteria; Enterobacterales; Enterobacteriaceae
Also listed under: 1 other name
Description: partial 23S ribosomal RNA
Rfam family: Bacterial large subunit ribosomal RNA
Source: RNAcentral